CCAGGCUUCCACAGGGAACCCUGGUGCCCAUGUUCUAGGCUUCCAUCUCCAACACAAUCCAAGUUCUCUGCUGCCAUCUGAGACCCUCUCCGGUCCACCCACAGCUCCUUUGCCUCUAGUCCCAAGCCAAGAUGGUCAUCUGGCCUAGACGCUGGCAGCAGCCCACUCUCCCAGAAGGCCAGGUGUGGAAGGGGGCUGAGAAGAGGUGGCUCUCCUUACUGCUCUCCAGCCAGACCCCAGCCCCAGCUCCCAGACCUUGCCCUCCCUUGCUACCCCUAUUGACUUCUUAGUCUAUGAGGCGUCGCCAUCCCUCUGUGUCUAUAGCCUGUCGGGCCUUGCCUCCCUCAGAGCCCCUCAGACACAACUUGUCCCUAUCCUGCUUGCUGUCCUAAGCCAUCACAUACAUACCUUCACAUACAUUCCUGGCUCUUCUCCCAAGGAACCCUCUCUCUCUUCCCUUCCCCCACUGACCUGGAGUCUAUGGAUUCUCAGAAGGUGGCAAGACAAAUCACUCGCCACAGCUCACAUCUCACCACCCUGCCUCACUGCUUCAGGCUCAUUCCCUGUGAGCCCUGGAGGUCUCAGGUGAAAAGCGGGACACUUUGACUCAGACGGAGAGGGCUAGAGCAGCCAAGUCUAGCCCAAAAGAGAACCCAAACUUCCAGCCCAGCUGACCCCCCCCCCACCGCCAGUGUUCUGGGCACAGGAGCACAUGGGCUGGAGCAGAGCCAGGAGCGCCUGGACACACGCUAUGUCCUUUACACACUCAAGUUCCCGGGCAGAGACUGGAAGACACCAGGACAUCAUCUCGGGAGCAACCUGAAGACAGAUCUGCCUGUCAGGCAGCACUGAGAAGGCUGAGAUUCAGCUCUGCUCUGCUCAUGGACAUCUUCCCCACUUUUCCUGACCUUGGGGUGCCUGAUGGAGGCACGGGCACUCUUUAAGCAAGCUGGACCCUAAACUGCAUCCUGAGCCUCUGCUACUCCAACUCAAUGGGGGGGAGGGGCAGGAAAUGCAGGUCCAUCCAAGCUGGUGUGACUACCCAAAGGCUGCCUGCCUGAGUGGGCUACCUUGGAAACGUGCCAACCCUAGAACAAGAGAAGGAAACACAUCUCCCAACAGGGAUGGAAUUUAGAUCCAAGGUGGAGGCUUAGCAGCAUGAUAGAUAGUACAGGCCUCCAACUGCUCUAGAGUACAAGCCUACCUGAUUCCAU
This is a long non-coding RNA of Mus caroli (Ryukyu mouse), 1214 nucleotides long. RefSeq lists it as uncharacterized. Lineage: Eukaryota; Metazoa; Chordata; Mammalia; Rodentia; Muridae. The record is from RefSeq and is a predicted model, not a curated record.